Molecule: microRNA precursor, 90 nt
Filed under: Vicugna pacos (alpaca)
Lineage: Eukaryota; Metazoa; Chordata; Mammalia; Artiodactyla; Camelidae
Description: miRNA (ENSVPAG00000017785.1)
Source: RNAcentral
AUCACUUGGGUAUUUUGCUUAAAUACAGAUUCUGAUUCAGCAGGUCUGGGACCUGAGAUUCUGCAUUUCUAACAUGUUUGCAGGUGAUGC